UAGGUUCUUAUUCUAGGUGGCCACAAAAU
RNAcentral lists this non-coding RNA (29 nucleotides) under Mus musculus (house mouse). Lineage: Eukaryota; Metazoa; Chordata; Mammalia; Rodentia; Muridae. The record is from RNAcentral.